UGGGGAAUUUUGGACAAUGGGCGAAAGCCUGAUCCAGCAAUGCCGCGUGUGUGAAGAAGGCCUUCGGGUUGUAAAGCACUUUUGUCUGGAAAGAAAUCCUUGGCUCUAAUACAGUCGGGGGAUGACGGUACCGGAAGAAUAAGCACCGGCUAACUACGUGCCAGCAGCCGCGGUAAUACGUAGGGUGCAAGCGUUAAUCGGAAUUACUGGGCGUAAAGCGUGCGCAGGCGGUUUGCUAAGACCGAUGUGAAAUCCCCGGGCUCAACCUGGGAACUGCAUUGGUGACUGGCAGGCUAGAGUAUGGCAGAGGGGGGUAGAAUUCCACGUGUAGCAGGUGAAAUGCGUAGAGAUGUGGAGGAAUACCGAUGGCGAAGGCAGCCCCCUGGGCCAAUACUGACGCUCAUGCACGAAAAGCGUGGGGAGCAAAACAGGAUUAGAUACCCUGGUAGUCCACGCCCUAAAACGAUGUCAACUAGUUGUUGGGGAUUCAUUUCCUUAGUAACGUAGCUAACGCG
RNAcentral lists this ribosomal RNA (515 nucleotides) under uncultured bacterium. RNAcentral's name for it is "partial 16S ribosomal RNA". It matches the Rfam family "Bacterial small subunit ribosomal RNA", at positions 355 to 859 of the family's 1533-position model. The record is from RNAcentral.